Molecule: ribosomal RNA, 332 nt
Filed under: uncultured eukaryote
Lineage: Eukaryota
Description: partial 18S ribosomal RNA
Rfam family: Eukaryotic small subunit ribosomal RNA
Source: RNAcentral
CCCUUAGAUGUUCUGGGCUGCACACGUGCUACACUGGCAGGUUCAGCGAGCUUCAUGCCCUGAUCUGAAAGGAAUGGGAAAUCUUUUCAAAACCUGCCGUGCUUGGGAUAGAUGUUUGCAAUUAUUCAUCUUCAACGAGGAUUGCCUUGUAAGCGCACGUCAUCAGCGUGCAUUGAAUACGACCCUGUAUUCUGUACACACCGCCCGUCGCUCCUACCGAUUGAAGUUUUCGGUGAGUUGACAGGGGGAUUUUUUUGAAACUGGUUCGCCAGUGGAUUUUAGAUCCAAAUGCCAACGAAUCGAUGGCUUUAGAGGAAGGAGAAGUCGUAACA